AUUGAACGCUGGCGGAAUGCUUUACACAUGCAAGUCGAACGGGAGUAGCAAUACUCUAGUGGCGAACGGGUGAGUAACACAUCGGAACGUACCCUGACGUGGGGGAUAACACAUCGAAAGGUGUGCUAAUACCGCAUACGUCCUGAGGGAGAAAGCGGGGGAUCGUAAGACCUCGCGCGUUUGGAGCGGCCGGUGGCGGAUUAGCUAGUUGGUGGGGUAAAGGCCGACCAAGGAGACGAUCCGUAGCUGGUCCGAGAGGACGACCAGCCACACUGUGACUGAGACACGGCCCAGACUCCUACGGGAGGCAGCAGUGGGGAAUUUUGGACAAUGUGCGAAAGCCUGAUUCAGCCAUUCCGCGUGAGUGAAGAAGGCCUUCGGGUUGUAAAGCUCUUUCGGCAGGAACGAAACGGCUCUUUCUAAUACAAGGAGUCAAUGACGGUACCUGAAGAAGAAGCACCGGCUAACUACGUGCCAGCCGCCGCGGUAA
RNAcentral lists this ribosomal RNA (490 nucleotides) under uncultured bacterium. Its description in RNAcentral is "partial 16S ribosomal RNA". It matches the Rfam family "Bacterial small subunit ribosomal RNA", at positions 30 to 523 of the family's 1533-position model. The record is from RNAcentral.